CCUGGGCUGCCAUUUCGCGAUCGGAAAGGCCGCCGCAAAUCUGGAUGAUACGGUCAGACAGCGUCGAUUUACCGUGGUCGAUGUGGGCAAUAAUAGAAAAGUUACGUAUAUUCUUCAUAGUUAGAGGUUUUUAUGCCUUACAAAUGCCUGAGAGCUCGGCGCUUCGCGCUGUACGGAGCAUGAUGUCAAUGGCUGUCUUCCGCCUGAAACGCCGCAUUCUACACUACAACGAGAAAGCGAGGAAACUGCUCAUCCUGCAAGCUUAGCUGAGGGAAGAAAAGAGGCGAGGCGCAAGUGUGAAUCUGGAGUACGGGGCUGCUAAAAAUCACCGGCCGUCUACGGAAGUGUCUGUCUCAACGCGCAGCACGUCCGGAGCAAGCGCAACGUUCAGGAUAACCGGCUGCCAGUCCGCACGGCGACUCAAUUUCAUCGAGUAUCCCCGGGCUAACAGAAACCCCCCAACGCCGCCCAGUAACGCGCCGCAAAACGCGGCAAGGUCGGAACCAAACAGCCCCUGGAACAGCGCAGCGAUAAGGAAAAGGCCCACCAGCGGAGACAUAUAGACCAGCAGCGCAGACCCAAUCAGGCUGCCUUCGGCUAUCCCCAGUUCGACCUUCUGCCCUUCCACCAGCGGCUGUUCGCAGGCCACCGACAGGAAAUGCUGAUUUUGCGGCCCAAGCUUAUUUAGCAGCCUGCUGCCGCAGCCUGCCCGGGAAGCGCAGCUGCUGCAUGACGCUUUCACAUCGCAGCGCAGCAGCGCUUCGCCGUUAGCCCAUGAGACGACCGUAGCCCACUCUUUGAUCAUUGGGCUGUCCUGAAUUUAAUGCUGUCAGCGAUGCG
RNAcentral lists this non-coding RNA (840 nucleotides) under uncultured Buttiauxella sp. RNAcentral's name for it is "antisense RNA of rseC mRNA". It matches the Rfam family "antisense RNA of rseC mRNA". Lineage: Bacteria; Pseudomonadati; Pseudomonadota; Gammaproteobacteria; Enterobacterales; Enterobacteriaceae. The record is from RNAcentral.